CAAUUUUAGCAAGUUUGGGCAAAGUUGUUUUUGGGACAGCAAAUCCCACCCCCAGGUGUGAGAUUUCCUACACCCACCUGUGAGAUUCUCUGGACAAAAGGCAACAACGUUUUUUUUAGUUAACUUUCAUCUCCAGCAGUCCUAAUUCACUUAGAACAUCUUAUAAAGAUUUCUAGCAGCUGUAGAAACUAGAUUAAAAUUAAUUAGGAAAUCUCCUAGUCUAUUCAGGACUUUUUAAUAUUUCCUACCUUAUUUAGGUCUUCCUAUUUUAUUUAGGAUUUCCUAUUGUAUUUUAAUUUAUCUAAAAUUCCUAUUUACUAGUUUCAUAUUCCUAUUAGGUUUGGGAGUCUAAAAGCUCUGUAAAUACCCUUUAUUUACAUGUAUUUCAGUUAAUAAAAAAAAUCCU
RNAcentral lists this unclassified non-coding RNA (406 nucleotides) under Hevea brasiliensis (rubber tree). Lineage: Eukaryota; Viridiplantae; Streptophyta; Magnoliopsida; Malpighiales; Euphorbiaceae. The record is from RNAcentral.